UCCCGGUUGGCCCGGGCAGUCUCGUAUGAAAAAUACAACAUACGGUAAGGGUUGCGCUCGUUGCGGGACUUAACCCAACAUCUCACGACACGAGCUGACGACGGCCAUGCAGCACCUGUCACUUGGUUCCCGAAGGCACUCCUCUGUUUCCAGUGGAUUCCAAGGAUGUCAAGCCUGGGUAAGGUUCUACGCGUAUCGUCAUAUUAAACCACAUCAUCCUCCGCUUGUGCGGGUCCCCGUCAAUUCCUUUGAGUUUUAGCCUUGCGGCCGUACUUCCCAGGCGGCAUACUUAUCGCGUUAGCUUCGACGCACAGGGGGUCGAUACCCCAUACGUCUAGUAUGCAUCGUUUACGGCGUGGACUAC
This 364-nucleotide unclassified non-coding RNA is filed under the name uncultured bacterium. Its description in RNAcentral is "contains 16S-23S intergenic spacer region". The record is from RNAcentral.